UGCCAGAUGCCUUCUUUUCCUCUUCUUGG
This 29-nucleotide non-coding RNA is filed under the name Rattus norvegicus (Norway rat). Lineage: Eukaryota; Metazoa; Chordata; Mammalia; Rodentia; Muridae. The record is from RNAcentral.